Molecule: long non-coding RNA, 482 nt
Filed under: Parus major (Great Tit)
Lineage: Eukaryota; Metazoa; Chordata; Aves; Passeriformes; Paridae
Description: lncRNA (ENSPMJG00000014369.1)
Source: RNAcentral
UAUGCAUCUGUUUGGAAUAUGAGUAGAAGGUCAUUUUGAAAUGUCGGUAUUUUUCUAUAGAAAUACUUUUUUUCUUUUUUUCUUUUUUUCUUUUUUUUUUUUUUUUUUUUUAACUUUCUACAGGUAAGAUUAGCAUGGAGUAUUUCAGGGAUAGCAAGACACCUUGCUCCAAAUAGAUUCUCCCCCUGGACUGGACAUGGCACUGUCCUGUGUUCCUGACCUGAAACAGAUGCUUUGGACUCUCAUUAUCACCUCCCAUGUCACAGAUGCCAGCAUUCAAUCAAGACAUGAAAUUUACUUUCUGAGUCAGAGACCUGUGAAAUUUGAAUCAAAUUCUUCAAAAGUGUCAUUCUGGGUAAAUAUUCAUGAAACACACCUGAAGAAACUAUCAUCACUCCUUCAGGAAUUUCAUCAAAAAGAGAAGGUAGAUACUUGAGGAGUGUGCUCUUCGUCAUACUAUCUCUUAAUUUGCUGAGGAAAUA